CAGGGCCCGACGCGGGGCUUGAACUCACAAACCGGGAGAUCAAGACCUGAGCUAAAGUUGGACGCUUAAUCGACUGAGCCACCCAGGCGCCCCCAGAUCAUUAACUUCUAAAAGGGCCGACAAGCUCUUGCGUGCAGACUCAACGGACAGCCUUGUUUCCAGAUGGUUCUGGAAAGCCUCCAGCUGUGAAUCCUGGAAUUCUGUCUACUCAGUUCCUGCCCAGAAGUGAAUGCUCGUGGCCGGGUUGAACAGAGCAGGAAAGGGGCUUGGUGUUCGCACCCCGAUGCCAGAGAUGACCUCGUCCCCUUGAGGACCUGCGCUGCCUGUCUGUGCGUGGGACAGUGGCAGGCGUGCUGGGCCACACGGGAAUCCCACCCGCGACCCCUGGAGGAGACCAGCGACUUACGCAGUGCUGCUCGCAGUGAGCCGUGCAUGGUGUGCUAGGAAACGAUUGCUUCUGAGCGUGUUCGGUGCAGCAGAGGAAGGAGCAAGUUCCAGGGCCAGACAUGUUCGGGAAGCUCGUGCGAAGGUGCAGGGUGUCUCUUUACUCAAGGGCCGAGAGCUCUUAAUCACUUGGGAAGCCUACAGGGGUGAUGGCUCUCGGCCCCAGGCUCCGGAGGCCAGAGCUGGGGACACCCGUCUAUGUGGGGUCCCCCCGGGAGAGAGGGAGCACCAAAUCCUAACCACUAGACCACCGGGGAACUUGGGGUCCCCCCGGAAGAGCUGCCUUCACGAGGGGGUGUCGGUGGAGGGACGCCUGUGUUUCCGCCCCUGGUAGACUGUUCUGUGAGAGAGAAGAUGAGGUUUCUAAAAAGGACUUUGUUUAGG
Long non-coding RNA from Herpailurus yagouaroundi (jaguarundi), 828 nucleotides. RefSeq lists it as uncharacterized. The record is from RefSeq and is a predicted model, not a curated record. The transcript is spliced from 2 exons. Lineage: Eukaryota; Metazoa; Chordata; Mammalia; Carnivora; Felidae.